Molecule: long non-coding RNA, 229 nt
Filed under: Elaeis guineensis (African oil palm)
Lineage: Eukaryota; Viridiplantae; Streptophyta; Magnoliopsida; Arecales; Arecaceae
Description: long non-coding RNA (EGUI_LNC038365)
Source: RNAcentral
AGGGAACAUAUAUAAUAGGCAUCCCUCAUGUAGGACAUUGAUGAGUACAAUAUUGAAUGGUAUUGCUUGAAGGGAGGCGAUGAGAUCGGGAUAGAUGUAGGUAGUUGAAAGUUCAAAUUAAGUAUAAUGCUCAUCAGUCUCUCCAUUCUAACUAGCAUGCUCCUUUAAAAGUUGUUAAGUCAUGCUAUUAUGUAUCAAAAUACCCUAGUUCUCCCUCUAUAGACAUCGA